UCAAUGGAAGAAUCGAUCAAUUUCUCUUUCAACCAGUUUUAAUCGACGACUGAAUUAAUAUAACAUUGAUAACAAAUUAAACGAUAUUCGAAAGAUGGAAUCGAGAAGGAAAGGAAAAAGGAAAUAUCAUCCGGACCCGCCCACCCGUUUUCGGGGUUGUAAUAUUUGAAACGAUCAGAGGUCGGAACAGGCAAUAAGGCAGGAAAACCCUUUUAUUCACAGUGGCAACUUAUCCUCGGCCGCCCUCUAUUCGUAUUCAUUAUUUCGCCUCUCUCCUCGCCGCUUUAUUAAGUAUUUCAACGUGCAAAGCCGUAAAGAAAGGGGAACAUGGAACAGUUACCCGCCCUCCUCCCGUAUCCUUGGCCUGCCUUCUUCUCCCUUGGCGAAACGAAAUUCAUAAAUACGCUCGAUAACAAGAAUUGAAAGAAUAAAUUCUACGUUAUUUAUCUCGUUAUGUACUCGAUAAUCUGCGAUAAUCUCUGAACUAAUCCUUCAAAGAACUCCUCUCCGCCCCUUCACGAUUCCUCUCACGAAGAUUCGAGUCGAGAGUAUCGCGCGAUUAUUGCCCGAUUAUCCAAGUCUCGCUUAAUCGAUUCGUGUGGCAAAACUGCACAAUUGGCUGCAGUUUAGGAAUUGCCCAUUUCCAGUAAACAGUUCAUGGAUUCCCAAAGGACAUUUACCACGCUCCACGAUUAAUCCUUGUCACGUUGCGGAGUCACGUUUUUCCACAAAAUUUUGAAAAAAAGAAAAAAAUGAACGUUUCAAAAUCUCGUUUCAAAAUAUAUACAUAUAUAUAUUUUUUCAAUCCGGAGAGAAGUGCGUUCCAAAAAUUCCAAUAUUGCUUCCAUUGUGAUGUAUCGUUUCGAUUUCGAUUAAUAUAUGCUACUUUUUCACUCGAAUCGAUCUCGAGAGUCGAUAGUUUGUACCUGUGCCAACUUCAGUUAACGCGAGGAUAACUCCUCCUAUCCUAUCUGCAUCGGUAAGAUUUUUAAGGAAAUCGCUGACUUGAAACGAGAUUAGCCAAAAGCGUGAAAAAAAAAA
Apis mellifera (honey bee) is the source of this 1041-nucleotide long non-coding RNA. RefSeq lists it as uncharacterized. The transcript has 2 exons. NCBI's taxonomy places the organism in Eukaryota, Metazoa, Arthropoda, Insecta, Hymenoptera, Apidae. The record is from RefSeq and is a predicted model, not a curated record.